RNAcentral lists this ribosomal RNA (731 nucleotides) under uncultured archaeon. RNAcentral describes it as "bacterial SSU rRNA". It matches the Rfam family "Archaeal small subunit ribosomal RNA", at positions 1 to 737 of the family's 1478-position model. The record is from RNAcentral.
UUUCCGGUUGAUCCCGCCGGACCUGACUGCUAUCGGAUUGAUACUAAGCCAUGCGAGUCUUUGCAGUAAUGCAAGGCAUACGGCUCAGUAACACGUAGUCAACUUACCCUAUGGACGAGGAUAAUCUCGGGAAACUGAGCAUAAUACUCGAUAGAUCAUAAUGCCUGGAAUGGUUUAUGGUUAAAAUGAUUCGUCGCCAUAGGAUGGGACUGCGGCCUAUCAGCUUGUUGGUGAGGUAAUGGCCCACCAAGGCGAUUACAGGUACGGGCUCUGAGAGGAGAAGCCCGGAGAUGGGUACUGAGACAAGGACCCAGGCCCUAUGGGGCGCAGCAGGCGAGAAAACUUUUGCAAUGUGCGAAAGCACGACAAGGUUAAUCCGAGUGAUUUCUGCUAAAGAAAUCUUUUGCAAGUCAUAAAACCACUAGUGAAUAAGGGGUGGGCAAGUUCUGGUGUCAGCCGCCGCGGUAAAACCAGCACCUCAAGUGGUCAGGAGGAUUAUUGGGCCUAAAGCAUCCGUAGCCGGCUCUGUAAGUUUUCGGUUAAAUCCAUGUGCUCAACGCAUGGGCUGCCGAAAAUACUGCAUAGCUAGGGAGUGGGAGAGGUAGACGGCACUCGGUAGGAAGGGGUAAAAUCCUUUGAUCUAUCGAUGACCACCUGUGGCGAAGGCGGUCUACCAGAACACGUUCGACGGUGAGGGAUGAAAGCUGGGGGAGCAAACCGGAUUAGAUACC